Molecule: long non-coding RNA, 462 nt
Organism: Helianthus annuus (common sunflower)
Lineage: Eukaryota; Viridiplantae; Streptophyta; Magnoliopsida; Asterales; Asteraceae
Exons: 2
Source: RefSeq, a predicted model, not a curated record
CCGUUUGAUCGACAAAGAGGGGGGGUGUGAAUGUUGCAGGGCAUCUGAGAGAGAAGGGUGUUUAUCGAGAACUGAACCGUCGGGCGGUUCGUACUCCGGUCACCGGAGUUCAGUCGGAGAGGGAACCAGAAUACUUCAAUCGGUUUGUACUCCGACAAAGGGGUUGCAUACAUACUUGUAUGUGAAGAUUUUAGUGAUUUGUUGAUAGCUCAAGGGUGUGGGUGUGCUUGUUCGAUUCUGUGUUUCGAGAGAGGAGAGCCAGAGUGUUGUUUCUAUAUGUAUGUGUUUUGAUUGUGUGAGGGAGAUUUGAGAGGAUAAGGUUGCAGAAUCUUUGUGAGAUGUUGUUUGUGCAGACAUUAUCAAUUUAUAAAAACAAACAGUCUUGUAUUUUCAGCUUACAGACCUUCAGACCACAUCUUCAGUUGCAAACAUGAAAACAGAUGAAAUCAGCUUGCAGACAGU